GACGUAGGGGGCCAGCGUUGUUCGGAAUUACUGGGUGUAAAGGGUUCGUAGGCGGUGUGGCAAGUCGGGAGUGAAAUCUCUGGGCUCAACCCAGAGACUGCUUCCGAAACUGCUGUGCUUGAGUGUGAGAGAGGCUCGUGGAAUUGCAGGUGUAGCGGUGAAAUGCGUAGAUAUCGGGAGGAACACCUGUGGCGAAAGCGGCGCACUGGACCACUUCUGACGCUGAGGCGCGAAAGCUAGGGGAGCAAACAGG
Molecule: ribosomal RNA, 253 nt
Filed under: uncultured bacterium
Lineage: Bacteria
Description: partial 16S ribosomal RNA
Rfam family: Bacterial small subunit ribosomal RNA
Source: RNAcentral